AUACGUAGGCAGCAAGCGUUGUUCGGAAUUACUGGGCGUAAAGCGAGUGUAGGCGGCUCGCCAAGUCUGUUGUGAAAUCUCCCGGCUCAACUGGGAGGGUGCGGCGGAAACUGGCAGGCUAGAGUACGGAAGAGGAGAGUGGAAUUCCUGGUGUAGCGGUGAAAUGCGUAGAUAUCAGGAGGAACAUCGGUGGUGAAGACGGCUCUCUGGACCGCUACUGACGCUGAGACUCGAAAGCGUGGGGAGCAAACAGAAUUAGAAACCCCAGUAGUCC
RNAcentral lists this ribosomal RNA (274 nucleotides) under uncultured bacterium. RNAcentral's name for it is "partial 16S ribosomal RNA". It matches the Rfam family "Bacterial small subunit ribosomal RNA", at positions 523 to 796 of the family's 1533-position model. The record is from RNAcentral.